Molecule: ribosomal RNA, 645 nt
Filed under: sulfate-reducing bacterium enrichment culture clone 1-3-5-H4
Lineage: Bacteria
Description: bacterial SSU rRNA
Rfam family: Bacterial small subunit ribosomal RNA
Source: RNAcentral
UGGAUUAGCGGCGGACGGGUGAGUAACACGUGGGUAACCUGCCUCAAAGAGGGGAAUAGCCUUCCGAAAGGAAGAUUAAUACCGCAUAAUAUGUUUUGGUCGCAUGACUAGAACAUCAAAGGAGCAAUCCGCUUUGAGAUGGACCCGCGGCGCAUUAGCUAGUUGGUGAGGUAACGGCUCACCAAGGCGACGAUGCGUAGCCGACCUGAGAGGGUGAUCGGCCACAUUGGAACUGAGACACGGUCCAGACUCCUACGGGAGGCAGCAGUGGGGAAUAUUGCGCAAUGGGGGAAACCCUGACGCAGCAACGCCGCGUGAAUGAUGAAGGCCUUCGGGUUGUAAAGUUCUGUCUUCUGGGACGAUAAUGACGGUACCAGAGGAGGAAGCCACGGCUAACUACGUGCCAGCAGCCGCGGUAAUACGUAGGUGGCAAGCGUUGUCCGGAUUUACUGGGCGUAAAGGAUGCGUAGGCGGACAUUUAAGUCAGAUGUGAAAUACCCGAGCUUAACUUGGGUGCUGCAUUUGAAACUGGGUGUCUAGAGUGCAGGAGAGGUAAGUGGAAUUCCUAGUGUAGCGGUGAAAUGCGUAGAGAUUAGGAAGAACACCAGUGGCGAAGGCGACUUACUGGACUGUAACUGACGCUGA